Molecule: non-coding RNA, 125 nt
Organism: Triticum urartu
Lineage: Eukaryota; Viridiplantae; Streptophyta; Magnoliopsida; Poales; Poaceae
Source: Rfam
AAAGUACUCCCUCCGUUCGGAAAUACUUGUCGGAGAAAUGGAUGUACCUAGAUGUAUUCUAGUUCUAGAUACACCCAUUUUUAUCCAUUUUAGCGACAAGUAAUUCCGGACGGAGGGAGUACAUG